Non-coding RNA from Pimephales promelas (fathead minnow), 331 nucleotides. Lineage: Eukaryota; Metazoa; Chordata; Actinopteri; Cypriniformes; Leuciscidae. The record is from RefSeq and is a predicted model, not a curated record.
GUUUUUAAAAGAGGUUUUUGUGUAGUCAUGAUAGGAUGAUGGAAAACAUUUGAAAAAUAAAUACAUAAACAAUAGCGUAUUUUGGUCAAGUUCGGGUAAAUAGGGGCUAAAUGUAACUAUUUAUUAAAUAGGAUAUGUAAAAAAUGAUCACCCUGGUAGAGACAGAUAAAAAUGCCUAAAAGGAAGUGUUGUUUUUUUGGACAAACUAAUAACAGUGUUCACUGUUGACAAUGGUAUAAAGAAUGGAUGAGAUACAACCAGUAACAAUUUACCUUUGGUUUGAACUGGAUUUAGAUGGUAAACAUGUAUAUCAAAAAAGUUGCCAACAAAC